AUGAAGAAACCCUGGAAUCCUAUUUCUUCCCAAGACAAUGUCCCAUGUACUGCAGAUUUCACUUGUUUGCAUGAAAGAGAAAGUGAGACAGAAUUAGCACCUGAUGAUAGUGAAGAAAAGCAAGAACGGGAGAAGAAACAUACCAGUUUUACAUUGUGCAGUGUGUGCAACAUUCAGCUGAACUCUGCUGCUCAGGCACAGAUCCAUUAUAAUGGGAAAUCUCAUCAGAAAAGGUUAAAACAGCUCAGCAAUGGAAAUCUCAAAAGUGACCAUGGAGGUACAUGCCAGAGCCCUGCUCUUCCAGCACUGGUACGUCCUCCAGCCCCACCCUUGCAGCCAUCGCUGGAUAUCAAACCUUUUCUUCCAUUUCCUCUGGAUACUGCGGCAGCUGUAAAUCUCUUCCCCAACUUCAAUGCAUUUCAGAACAAGAAUGUGCACAUCUCUUGGCCACAGUUCUGCAACUCAGUUAUAUCCAAAAAAUUACCAGGGCUGGCUCUGGGUAGAGAAGAUUCAAAAGAGGUAGGGACUAACUUUGGAAGUCUACUGAUCGGAGAAAUGGACCCAAUUCAAAAAGCAGUAAUAAAUCAUACGUUUGGGGUUCCUCUUCCUCACAGAAGAAAGCAAAUAAUAUCGUGCAACAUUUGUCAGUUAAGAUUUAACUCAGAUAGCCAGGCUGCGGCCCACUACAAAGGCACUAAACAUGCCAAGAAGCUCAAAGCACUGGAAGCCAUGAAAAAUAAGCAGAAAUCUGUAACUACCAAGGACACCGCAAAGACUGCCUUCACUUCCAUCACUACCAAUACCAUCAAUACCAGCUCUGACAAAACAGCAGACAAUACAACAGGGACACCAGCAAUAUCAACAACCACAGCAGUUGAAAUUCGGAAAAGCAGCGACAUGACAACUGAGAUCACCUCUAAAGCUGAAAAGCUCCCCGCAACAGUCGCUAUCAGCAACACGUGUUCUUCGGGAGAGACGGAGGAAGAAAAGGCCAAGCGACUCCUUUACUGUUCACUAUGCAAGGUUGCCGUCAACUCCGCCUCACAGUUGGAGGCUCACAACAGUGGCACAAAGCACAAAACUAUGUUGGAAGCACGAAAUGGAAGUGGAACCAUCAAAGCCUUUCCCCGGGCAGGUGUCAAAGGCAAAGGACCCAUUAAUAAAGGAAACACGGGACUUCAGAACAAAACAUUUCACUGUGAAAUCUGCGAUGUGCAUGUAAAUUCUGAGACACAACUUAAACAGCACAUAAGCAGUAGAAGGCACAAAGACAGAGCUGCUGGGAAGCCCCCGAAACCCAAAUACAGCCCCUACAACAAACUCCAGAAGGGAACACACCCUCUCGGGGUAAAAUUAGUAUUUUCAAAGGAACCUACCAAACCAAUGGCUCCACGCAUCCUACCAAAUCCUCUCGCAGCUGCCGCAGCGGCUGCCGCCGUGGCUGUCAAUUCCCCUUUCAGUCUUCGAACAGCCCCACCAGCCACCCUCUUUCAGACUUCAGCCCUUCCUCCGGCACUUCUCCAACCGGCCCCGGGGCCUAUACGGACCACCCACACUCCCGUGCUCUUUGCUCCUUACUGAACUCCACAAAGGGAUUAAUUGUACUGCAAUAAUUUUUCAGAGCAAAAGCAAAACAAGAACAAUGAACUAUGCAGUGUUUAUUUAUAAACUGAACAAAUUCUAAAGAGAGGAAGAGGCAGUAUUUUCUCCAGAAGGAAGCAUUUCUCUUGAACUUCGACCAUUUAAAAA
Molecule: RNA transcript, 1749 nt
Organism: Euleptes europaea (tarantolino)
Lineage: Eukaryota; Metazoa; Chordata; Lepidosauria; Squamata; Sphaerodactylidae
Gene: ZNF385D
Gene name: zinc finger protein 385D
Exons: 10
Source: RefSeq, a predicted model, not a curated record